GAUGAACGCUGGCGGCGUGCCUAAUACAUGCAAGUCGAGCGAACAGACGAGGAGCUUGCUCCUCUGACGUUAGCGGCGGACGGGUGAGUAACACGUGGAUAACCUACCUAUAAGACUGGGAUAACUUCGGGAAACCGGAGCUAAUACCGGAUAAUAUAUUGAACCGCAUGGUUCAAUAGUGAAAGACGGUUUUGCUGUCACUUAUAGAUGGAUCCGCGCCGCAUUAGCUAGUUGGUAAGGUAAAGGCUUACCAAGGCAACGAUGCGUAGCCGACCUGAGAGGGUGAUCGGCCACACUGGAACUGAGACACGGUCCAGACUCCUACGGGAGGCAGCAGUAGGGAAUCUUCCGCAAUGGGCGAAAGCUUGACGGAGCAACGCCGCGUGAGUGAUGAAGGUCUUCGGAUCGUAAAACUCUGUUAUUAGGGAAGAACAAAUGUGUAAGUAACUAUGCACGUCUUGACGGUACCUAAUCAGAAAGCCACGGCUAACUACGUG
RNAcentral lists this ribosomal RNA (497 nucleotides) under uncultured bacterium. RNAcentral's name for it is "partial 16S ribosomal RNA". It matches the Rfam family "Bacterial small subunit ribosomal RNA", at positions 28 to 507 of the family's 1533-position model. The record is from RNAcentral.